GGCUCAGGAUGAACGCUGGCGGCGUGCCUAAUACAUGCAAGUCGAGCGAACAGACGAGGAGCUUGCUCCUUUGACGUUAGCGGCGGACGGGUGAGUAACACGUGGGUAACCUACCUAUAAGACUGGGAUAACUUCGGGAAACCGGAGCUAAUACCGGAUAAUAUUUCGAACCGCAUGGUUCGAUAGUGAAAGAUGGCUCUGCUAUCACUUAUAGAUGGACCUGCGCCGUAUUAGCUAGUUGGUAAGGUAACGGCUUACCAAGGCAACGAUACGUAGCCGACCUGAGAGGGUGAUCGGCCACACUGGAACUGAGACACGGUCCAGACUCCUACGGGAGGCAGCAGUAGGGAAUCUUCCGCAAUGGGCGAAAGCCUGACGGAGCAACGCCGCGUGAGUGAUGAAGGUCUUCGGAUCGUAAAACUCUGUUAUUAGGGAAGAACAAACGUGUAAGUAACUGUGCACGUCUUGACGGUACCUAAUCAGAAAGCCACGGCUAACUACGUGCCAGCAGCCGCGGUAAUACGUAGGUGGCAAGCGUUAUCCGGAAUUAUUGGGCGUAAAGCGCGCGUAGGCGGUUUUUUAAGUCUGAUGUGAAAGCCCACGGCUCAACCGUGGAGGGUCAUUGGAAACUGGAAAACUGAAGCGGCGCGUAGGCGGUUUUUAGUCGAUGUGAAAGCCCACGGCUCCACGUGGAGGGUCAUGAAACUGAAACUGAGGUGCAGAAGAGAAAGUGGAAUCAUGUGUAGCGUGAAAUGCGCAGAGAUAUGGAGGAACACCAGUGGCGAAGGCGACUUUCUGGUCUGUAACUGACGCUGAUGUGCGAAAGCGUGGGGAUCAAACAGGAUUAGAUACCUGGUAGUCCACGCCGUAAACGAUGAGUGCUAAGUGUUAGGGGGUUUCCGCCCCUUAGUGCUGCAGCUAACGCAUUAAGCACUCCGCCUGGGGAGUACGACCGCAAGGGUUGAAACUCAAAAGGAAUUGACGGGGACCCGCACAAGCGGUGGAGCAUGUGGUUUAAUUCGAAGCAACGCGAAGAACCUUACCAAAUCUUGACAUCCUUUGACCCUUCUAGAGAUAGAAGUUUCCCCUUCGGGGGACAAAGUGACAGGUGGUGCAUGGUUGUCGUCAGCUCGUGUCGUGAGAUGUUGGGUUAAGUCCCGCAACGAGCGCAACCCUUAAGCUUAGUUGCCAUCAUUAAGUUGGGCACUCUAAGUUGACUGCCGGUGACAAACCGGAGGAAGGUGGGGAUGACGUCAAAUCAUCAUGCCCCUUAUGAUUUGGGCUACACACGUGCUACAAUGGACAAUACAAAGGGCAGCGAAACCGCGAGGUCAAGCAAAUCCCAUAAAGUUGUUCUCAGUUCGGAUUGUAGUCUGCAACUCGACUACAUGAAGCUGGAAUCGCUAGUAAUCGUAGAUCAGCAUGCUACGGUGAAUACGUUCCCGGGUCUUGUACACACCGCCCGUCACACCACGAGAGUUUGUAACACCCGAAGCCGGUGGAGUAACC
RNAcentral lists this ribosomal RNA (1509 nucleotides) under Staphylococcus hominis. RNAcentral's name for it is "16S ribosomal RNA". It matches the Rfam family "Bacterial small subunit ribosomal RNA". The record is from RNAcentral. Lineage: Bacteria; Bacillati; Bacillota; Bacilli; Caryophanales; Staphylococcaceae.